This 172-nucleotide ribosomal RNA is filed under the name Neopestalotiopsis protearum. Its description in RNAcentral is "partial 18S ribosomal RNA". It matches the Rfam family "Eukaryotic small subunit ribosomal RNA", at positions 1662 to 1831 of the family's 1831-position model. Lineage: Eukaryota; Fungi; Ascomycota; Sordariomycetes; Amphisphaeriales; Sporocadaceae. The record is from RNAcentral.
GUACACACCGCCCGUCGCUACUACCGAUUGAAUGGCUCAGUGAGGCUUCCGGACUGGCCCAGGGAGGUCGGCAACGACCACCCAGGGCCGGAAAGUUAUCCAAACUCGGUCAUUUAGAGGAAGUAAAAGUCGUAACAAGGUCUCCGUUGGUGAACCAGCGGAGGGAUCAUUA